AUACGGAGGAUGCGAGCGUUAUCCGGAUUUAUUGGGUUUAAAGGGAGCGUAGGUGGGAUAUUAAGUCAGCUGUGAAAGUUUGGGGCUCAACCUUAAAAUUGCAGUUGAUACUGGUUUCCUUGAGUACGGUACAGGUGGACGGAAUUCGUGGUGUAGCGGUGAAAUGCUUAGAUAUCACGAAGAACUCCGAUCGCGAAGGCAGCUCACCGGGCCGGAACUGACACUGAUGCUCGAAAGUGCGGGUAUCAAACAGGAUUAGAUACCCUGGUAGUCCGCACAGUAAACGAUGAAUACUCGCUGUUUGCGAUACACUGUAAGCGGCCAAGCGAAAGCGUUAAGUAUUCCACCUGGGGAGUACGCCGGCAACGGUGAAACUCAAAGGAAUUGACGGGG
Molecule: ribosomal RNA, 393 nt
Filed under: uncultured bacterium
Lineage: Bacteria
Description: partial 16S ribosomal RNA
Rfam family: Bacterial small subunit ribosomal RNA
Source: RNAcentral